AUCUUUGCGCUUGGGGCAAUGACGCAGCUAGUGAGGUAAUACCGAGGCGCGUCAAUUGCUGGCUGAAAACUAUUUCCAAACUAUCUCCGGAGCCACUGAGAAUUUCUGAAAGGGCUCCCUCUCCUUCGGGACUGGGUAAAGCC
This 143-nucleotide small nuclear RNA is filed under the name Triticum turgidum subsp. durum (durum wheat). RNAcentral's name for it is "Triticum durum (durum wheat) U4 spliceosomal RNA". The stretch from base 1 to 124 matches the Rfam family "U4 spliceosomal RNA". From Rfam's summary of the family: U4 small nuclear RNA (U4 snRNA) is a component of the major U2-dependent spliceosome. RNAcentral also lists the same sequence under 1 other name. The record is from Rfam by way of RNAcentral. Lineage: Eukaryota; Viridiplantae; Streptophyta; Magnoliopsida; Poales; Poaceae.